AUAUGCAUUAUCUGGGGGUCUUACUGAAAUGCAGAUUCUGAAUCAUCAGGUCUGAGUAGGGGAAUCUGAGUCACCAGUUUUCAUAAGCUCCCAAAUGAUACUGGU
This 105-nucleotide microRNA precursor is filed under the name Marmota monax (woodchuck). The record is from RNAcentral. Lineage: Eukaryota; Metazoa; Chordata; Mammalia; Rodentia; Sciuridae.